Molecule: long non-coding RNA, 433 nt
Organism: Dermacentor albipictus
Lineage: Eukaryota; Metazoa; Arthropoda; Arachnida; Ixodida; Ixodidae
Source: RefSeq, a predicted model, not a curated record
GCGAACAGAUUUCAACGACUGCUAUAGAGCGUUGAAUCUAACAAGUGUUUAUAUUUCCAUGGAUUACGUCUGCCCUACGCAUCUUCGUUUCUACAGACGACGCACCUUCUUACGAGGCGAAGUUCUACUACACCGACUACGACAACUGCGCUGUCCUCGACAUUCCUUAUAAUGGACGUCAAUGCAUCCUUUGGACGAAAGAAACAGUGAAAGAUUCGGUGCCCCAGAAAUGCAUGGAUGAGUUCAUGAAGAAUUGUGGCGUCGGCGCCCCACUUUACAACGAUGACCUUUGCAGUGGUGAUGAAGUCGCCGUAUGGUGAUGAAGAAAAAAACCGAGCUUAUUGCCAACAGGCUCAGAUCAACAAAGCUUCGAUUUCACCUUCAACAGUUUCAGCCGAGGCAUAAAUGCAAAUGCGUAAUAAAUAUUGAAAUC